RNAcentral lists this ribosomal RNA (20 nucleotides) under Misgurnus anguillicaudatus (oriental weatherfish). Lineage: Eukaryota; Metazoa; Chordata; Actinopteri; Cypriniformes; Cobitidae. The record is from RNAcentral.
AUACCAGAUGCUGUAAGCAU